Molecule: ribosomal RNA, 253 nt
Filed under: uncultured bacterium
Lineage: Bacteria
Description: partial 16S ribosomal RNA
Rfam family: Bacterial small subunit ribosomal RNA
Source: RNAcentral
UACGAAGGGGGCUAGCGUUGCUCGGAAUCACUGGGCGUAAAGGGCGCGUAGGCGGAUGGCACAGUCAGAUGUGAAAUUCCCGGGCUUAACCUGGGGGCUGCAUUUGAUACGUGUGAUCUAGAGUGAGGAAGAGGGUCGUGGAAUUCCCAGUGUAGAGGUGGAAUUCGUAGAUAUUGGGAAGAACACCGGUGGCGAAGGCGGCGACCUGGUCCUUGACUGACGCUGAGGCGCGAAAGCGUGGGGAGCAAACAGG